Molecule: ribosomal RNA, 254 nt
Filed under: uncultured bacterium
Lineage: Bacteria
Description: partial 16S ribosomal RNA
Rfam family: Bacterial small subunit ribosomal RNA
Source: RNAcentral
GACAGAGGUGGCUAGCGUUGUUCGGAUUCAUUGGGUGUAAAGGGUGCGUAGGCGGUUUAGAAAGUUAAAUGUGAAAGCCCACAGCUCAACUGUGGAAAUGCAUUUAAAACUCCUAGACUAGAGUGCGAGAGAGGUGAAGGGAAUUCCCGGUGUAAGGGUGAAAUCUGCAGAGAUCGGGAGGAACACCAGUAGCGAAGGCGCUUCACUGGCUCGUAACUGACGCUGAGUGCACGAAGGUAUGGGGAGCAAACGGG